This 233-nucleotide ribosomal RNA is filed under the name uncultured bacterium. RNAcentral's name for it is "partial 16S ribosomal RNA". It matches the Rfam family "Bacterial small subunit ribosomal RNA", at positions 87 to 339 of the family's 1533-position model. The record is from RNAcentral.
AUAUGAGAGUGGCGAACGGGUGAGUAACACGUAAGAAUCUACCUUUGGGACGGGGAUAACUUCUGGAAACGGAUGCUAAUACCCGAUACGCUGUGGAGUGAAAGAAUUUCGCCCAAAGAUGAUCUUGCGUCUGAUUAGCUAGUUGGUAGGGUAAUGGCUUACCAAGGCGACGAUCAGUAGCUGGUCUGAGAGGAUGGACAGCCACAUUGGAACUGAGACACGGCCCAGACUCC